GUCUCGCAACGAGCGCAACCCCUUUCUUUAGUUACCAUCAUUUAGUUGGGGACUCUAAAGAUACUGCCCCGGUUAACGGGGAGGAAGGUGGGGAUGACGUCAAGUCCUCAUGGCCUUUAUGCCUAGGGCUACACACGUGCUACAAUGGACUGUGCAAAGGGUCGCCAGCCUGUGAAGGUGAGCCAAUCCCAUAAAGCAGUUCGUAUUUCGGAUUGGAGUCUGCAACUCGACUCCAUGAAGCUGGAAUCGCUAGUAAUCGUGGAUCAGAAUGCCACGGUGAAUACGUCCCGGGCCUUGUACACACCGCCCGUCACACCUU
RNAcentral lists this ribosomal RNA (319 nucleotides) under uncultured delta proteobacterium B2M57. Its description in RNAcentral is "bacterial SSU rRNA". It matches the Rfam family "Bacterial small subunit ribosomal RNA", at positions 1084 to 1405 of the family's 1533-position model. The record is from RNAcentral. Lineage: Bacteria; Deltaproteobacteria.